GCACAUGUGGCGGAAUGGUAUACGCGCUACGUUGAGGUCGUAGUCUCUGAAAUACGGGAUGCAGGUUCGACUCCUGUCAUGUGCAC
Molecule: transfer RNA, 86 nt
Filed under: Streptomyces phage Annadreamy
Lineage: Duplodnaviria; Heunggongvirae; Uroviricota; Caudoviricetes; Stanwilliamsviridae
Also listed under: 2 other names
Description: tRNA-Leu
Rfam family: tRNA
About the family: Transfer RNA (tRNA) molecules are approximately 80 nucleotides in length. Their secondary structure includes four short double-helical elements and three loops (D, anti-codon, and T loops).
Source: RNAcentral